Molecule: long non-coding RNA, 1499 nt
Filed under: Astyanax mexicanus (Mexican tetra)
Lineage: Eukaryota; Metazoa; Chordata; Actinopteri; Characiformes; Acestrorhamphidae
Description: lncRNA (ENSAMXG00005005479.1)
Source: RNAcentral
UUUACUUCCAUGUAUUGCGUAAUCUGUGAUUUUACACAGAACGGUGUUGUGUUACAUCUUGCUAUAGGUUUGGACUUGCAGUGAUUAGACACACAGAUAUAUGAGUUCUGCUGUAGGUACAUGCAGUCAGACAGGAUUUCAGAGGAAUGAGGAAACUCAGUUUAAACUCUGCAUUUCCCAAAAAAGACUCUUUACGAGCACAAUAACUUCCUCAACACCUUCCAGUCAAGCUUUUGCAACCGUGGCAGAAACAGCAGUGCACCAAGUGACCGUCUGCAACGUUGCUGAGGAGAGGACACUUCUAAUGGAUCUCCAGGAGAACUGUUCCAGCUUCAUCAGGCUGUAUGAGGAACAUCAGCCUGAACUCCAGCAGAUCAUAACUGCCAUGCUGAUGAGCAUUGAGGAGUUUUUGGAUGACUGCAGAAAGGCAGCCCAGGGCAGGGGUGGAAUACGAAUGCGGGGACUAGCAGCAGCAGCACUUGGAGCUGGGGUUGGUGGUUUGUUUGUGGGGAUUGGUGCUUUGCUGGCAGCUAUCACUGGCGCUUACUGGGGUGCAUUAGAGACUGUAGUACUGAGUGCAGUCGGGACUGGAAUGCUCACAACUGUUGGUGUUCUUGAGAUGUUCAAAGCCCCCAACAAGCCCUUACCAAACCUAAAGGAUCUCCCAGAGGACAUCAAGAAGUUUAAAACAACAGCCAGCAGAAUCAGCAGCCCCCUGAAGUACAUCUGCAAACACGUGGAGAACCUCCUGCAGACCUACGGUGAGAAAGAUCUCAGAGACAGAGCAGAUGAGCUGUUCAAUCCUGAAGAUUUGCGCACACUGUCCGUACAGGUAGAGAAAACUCUGGAGAUGAUAGACAAUAUCCAGCCAUCUGCAACCACCGUUCCCCACCCGACUGAAGACCCCAAAACACUCAGAGACGUUAACAAACUGAAGAUCCUCUCCACCGUGCUGGAGAACGAACUGGAGUCGGAAACAGGACGCUUCGUCUGGAGGACGAGAGAGAUGAUCAAUCAUCUGCAGGACACCUUAAAUCAACUGAGGUUCUCAAAGGCAGGGGUGGAGAAGGUGCUCUUACCUAAACUCAGUGCUUCUUAAAGUUUUGGUAGAGCACAUUUUGAGUCACUGAAUGUUGUUGAAAAUUAUGCUGAACUUAACUCAACCUGAUUGUGCCAUCUCGACCAAUCAGUGAAGGCAUGUUACAGUAAAUAUUUACUGGAGGUCAUGCUUUCUUUUAAUAGUACAGCUUUUCAGUUCUCAUCCAUAAAUCUCUCCCCACAUGUGGAUUGUCUGUGAGGGACUUUAAACAUAGUUUUCAGCAUGGAUGGAUGCAGUCAGGGGCAUUGCCUGGGUAUCUAAAGAUCCGGGGCUCAGCCCAGCCAAUUAAGGUCACUGGUUUAUACUGAUUACAAAACACCUAAUCAGUGAUGGUAUAGUUACUUUGAAAAAGUAAUCCGAUUACUGAUUACUCCUUUAAAAAGUAACUUAGUUACUUUAU